Molecule: unclassified non-coding RNA, 335 nt
Filed under: soil metagenome
Description: partial contains 5.8S ribosomal RNA, internal transcribed spacer 2, and large subunit ribosomal RNA
Rfam family: 5.8S ribosomal RNA (bases 1-120)
Source: RNAcentral
GAUGAAGAACGUAGCGAAAUGCGAUAAGUAAUGUGAAUUGCAGAAUUCAGUGAAUCAUCGAAUCUUUGAACGCACAUUGCGCCCGCCAGUAUUCUGGCGGGCAUGCCUGUUCGAGCGUCAUUUCAACCAUCAAGCUCCCGGGCUUGCGUUGGGGCCCUGCGGCUGCCGCAGGCCCCUAAAACCAGUGGCGGGCUCGCUAUCACACCGAGUGCAGUAGAUUACUCUUCGCUCAGGGCGUGCAGCGGGUUCCGGCCGUGAAACCCCCUACUUUUAAAGGUUGACCUCGGAUCAGGUAGGAAUACCCGCUGAACUUAAGCAUAUCAAUAAGCGGAGGA